UGAAGGAGCUGGAAACUUUCCACAAAGAGAGGUGCUUGGAAUUCAAACCCCCAAGAUUUUAUGGAGAGCCAUUAAAUUGCCUCAAGUUAUGGAGAGCAGUCAUCAGACUUGGUGGCUAUGAACAGGUGACUUCCAAAAACGAUCAAGCACAAGGCUGAUGCUUCAAAACCAUAUAUAUUCCUUCCUGUUGUAGAAUUUUU
This is a non-coding RNA of Camellia sinensis, 200 nucleotides long. NCBI's taxonomy places the organism in Eukaryota, Viridiplantae, Streptophyta, Magnoliopsida, Ericales, Theaceae. The record is from RefSeq and is a predicted model, not a curated record.